RNAcentral lists this ribosomal RNA (523 nucleotides) under uncultured bacterium. RNAcentral describes it as "bacterial SSU rRNA". It matches the Rfam family "Bacterial small subunit ribosomal RNA", at positions 28 to 549 of the family's 1533-position model. The record is from RNAcentral.
AAUGAACGCUGGCGGCGUGCCUUACACAUGCAAGUCGAGCGAGGCCGGGUAGCAAUACCCGAGUCGAGCGGCGAACGGGUGAGUAACGCGUGGAUAACCUGCCCUGAGGUGUGGAACAACCGGGGGAAACUCCGCCUAAUACCGCAUGAAACCGAGAGGUCAAAGGCGGCUCGCAAGGGCUGUCGCCACAGGAGGGGUCCGCGUCCGAUUGCUAGUUGGUGGGGUAAUGGCCUACCAAGGCGACGAUCGGUAGCCGGCCUGAGAGGGUGAUCGGCCACACUGGAACUGAGACACGGUCCAGACUCCUACGGGAGGCAGCAGUGGGGAAUUUUGCGCAAUGGGCGAAAGCCUGGCGCAGCAACGCCGCGUGGAGGAUGAAGGUCUUUGGGUUGUAAACUCCUGUCAGCGGGGAAAAAGGGACCGUACCCAAUACGUACGGGACUUGAUUGUACCCGCAGAGGAAGCCCCGGCUAACUCUGUGCCAGCAGCCGCGGUAAUACAGAGGGGGCAAGCGUUAUUCGGU